RNAcentral lists this ribosomal RNA (253 nucleotides) under uncultured bacterium. RNAcentral describes it as "partial 16S ribosomal RNA". It matches the Rfam family "Bacterial small subunit ribosomal RNA", at positions 524 to 776 of the family's 1533-position model. The record is from RNAcentral.
GACGAGGGGUCCUAGCGUUGUUCGGAAUCACUGGGCGUAAAGCGUUUGUAGGCGGCUCUAUAAGUCGGGUGUGAAAUCCCAUGGCUCAACCAUGGAAGUGCAUUCGAAACUGCAGAGCUUGAAUAUGGAAGAGGAGAGUAGAAUUCCUGGUGUAGUGGUGAAAUACGUAGAUAUCAGGAGGAAUACCGGUGGCGAAGGCGGCUAUCUGGCCCGUAAUUGACGCUGAGGCGCGAAAGCGUGGGGAGCAAACAGG